Molecule: ribosomal RNA, 119 nt
Filed under: Clonorchis sinensis
Lineage: Eukaryota; Metazoa; Platyhelminthes; Trematoda; Opisthorchiida; Opisthorchiidae
Source: RNAcentral
GACCGCGACCAUACCAUGUUGGAAACACCGGUUCUCGUCUGAUCACCGAAGUACGACAACGUUGGGCCCGGUUAGUAAGUACAUGGGUGACCAGCUGGAAAUACCGGGUGUUGCGGCCG